ACGCUCACUCGCUCCGGCGUCCAGAAAGUUCCAAAGAUUCUUAUAAACACGGCCGUUUCCGAAGAAAAAUAGAGCUCUGAAAGUUUCGAGAGCCUUCGCUCAAACCAUUUCGUAAGGUAAAUGAAGAUCCAAUCCAAGUACUUAGAACUAUUUAAUUUUUUUCUUCAGCUGCAACUGUGUUUGAUUGUUUGCAUUAACGGUACCCGAAUCUGAAUUCAACAUUGCGAUGUGAUCAUUUUCUGUUUCUCGAUCGAUUUCGUAUCGUCAAUUCAAUGCUGUAAAAAUCAACUCCGAUUUUAUUUUGGCGUUGUAGAUAAAUAUCUGCUGUUCGUCUGAUUUUCAUCUCUUCGUAACUGGAAAAGAUGUCGGAGUACGAUAAUGUGGUGGUGGAGAAAUUGAGGCUGAAGGGGAAGGCCGCCUUAGGUGUAAAAGGAGAUGGAAUUAGAAAGAAGAAGAAGCAGAAGCAGAAGCAGAAGCAGAAGAAGCGAAUUGACGGAUUUUCUCAACUUGUGAGAGAAGACGACCAUGAUCUGUCAGAUUGUUAGGAAGGAACAUUACUUCAUUGGUUGAUUGUUCAAAAGAAAAGGUACGUGAUACCCAUGGCGGCGGUGGCAAAGGUUUAUAUGAGGAUAUGUUAACAGCGGCCGAGAGGCGAUAUCUUCAACAAUGGGAGAAGAUUGAUCUUCAAAGAAUGUCCAAGAUGGCCAGCAAAUCUCACCGUGAUCGAAUUCAAGAAUUCAAUCAACGUUUGGCAAAUUUGAGUGAGCACCAUGACAUACCUAAAGUUGGGCCUGGCUAACUCAAUCAAGUUGUUAUUGUUGUGUUAUAUUAUUAUUAUUUUGAUCUUUUCACCAAUUGUUUCAAUUAUAUUCAUGUGAAAUAUGAAACAAAAAUUAGACAUUUAAAAAAAAAAAAAACGUUCUAACUUUAUCUGAAA
Molecule: RNA transcript, 937 nt
Organism: Cucumis melo (muskmelon)
Lineage: Eukaryota; Viridiplantae; Streptophyta; Magnoliopsida; Cucurbitales; Cucurbitaceae
Exons: 2
Source: RefSeq, a predicted model, not a curated record